Non-coding RNA from Pelodiscus sinensis (Chinese soft-shelled turtle), 828 nucleotides. The record is from RefSeq and is a predicted model, not a curated record. NCBI's taxonomy places the organism in Eukaryota, Metazoa, Chordata, Testudines, Trionychidae.
GGAGGUGGAGAGCUAGAAAUGAAAAUACCGGAAAGGGGGAAGAUUUUCUCAGUUCCAGCAAUGUCACAUACAAAACAAAGAAUCUACAGUCCCCCACUUUAUGUAUCACCACAUGUUUGUCUAGCCAGUCGACUGCUUUCUGACCUGUUUAUCACUUACAUGAGCCAGGCUGUUGUCUCAGGUCCCCACUUCUGAAGCUGAAUGAACUUACUGAAUAAAAGAAGAACUGGCUUGAACUUCUGCCUGAAAUGAACCUGAGCCUCGAUUGUUUGAGCACUGAAAAAAUGAGUGUAAAUUUUAAUUAUUUCUGUUUUCAUUGACAACACAUUGCACUUACAGGAACGUCUCAAUGAACGGUGGGAUUUGCAGCUGUUGUUUAAAGUCAUUAUUGUAAGGAAAGGAAAGCAGGGUACUUAAUUAACCAUAGAAGCUUGACAUUUCAAGAGAACAGUCCUCCAUACCUAUCUCAGGGGGUGAUUGAGAAACUGGGAAAUCUGAUAAAAAAGAGACAAAUAAAUACUCCCCCCCUCCCCUUUCUGAUUCAUUAAAGGGUGAAUAGGCCAGUUAGUGAUUAGGUAAAUAUUACUCACUGAAGUAAAACCUAUUUGAGACUGUAUAUCAGCAUGAUGUGUAUUGAAGAGAGUGGAGAUGGUGGUGGGGACUGUAGGGUCUGUAAAAGAAAUGAUUAAUUAUGUAUCCUCUUGCUGUCUGGUGAUAUGACCUGGGAGAUGAACCAAAUUAUUAAAUCAAGUGAUGUCACACUAGAAAGAAAAUUGAAAAUAAAACAUACUGGCUCAGAUCAACCUCUCGUGUGGAAAGAAAUGCAGC